This 531-nucleotide unclassified non-coding RNA is filed under the name soil metagenome. RNAcentral's name for it is "partial internal transcribed spacer 1". The record is from RNAcentral.
CCGAUUUUGUAUGAAUCCAAAACAAAACCAACUCUUGACGCUAACACGGCAUUAGCAGCAGCAGGGUUAAGCUGGUAUUUAGUUUCCUUGUUGUUGUUGAUGUUUGUUGUUGCUGAAAGCAAGUCCCACCGUACCAAAUGUCUUGUAAACAGUCUCUCAUAUUAAAAGUGGGGACCAAUGUAGACGUUGUGUGGGACUUGGUGACUUGGUCAUUGUACCAUUUCACGAAGCUACCUGAUAAAAUGCACUGUCGUAAGUGCCCAGGUAGACUGACUAUAUAAAGUGUUGUAAACGGGGAUUAUUAUGUGGUUGGGUGAGAGACCCAAUUAAAGAAUUGUUCGCCACAACCCAAAGUCAACAUAAUGUUCAGUUUUAUCUGGGCCAAGUAGUGAUAAAGUAGGGGCUAACAUUUUAUAAUUCACAUGAUCACACGUUUACUGACUCUUUUGUCAGCCUGUGUGAGUUGUGAAAAGCAAAACUAUGUGAAAGUGUUAAAACCACUUAUAAAAAUAUAAAGAGAAUAAAAAAUUU